RNAcentral lists this unclassified non-coding RNA (446 nucleotides) under Hevea brasiliensis (rubber tree). The record is from RNAcentral. Lineage: Eukaryota; Viridiplantae; Streptophyta; Magnoliopsida; Malpighiales; Euphorbiaceae.
GUGUGAACUAUUCACACUGAUCAGGUCACUUCCCCUUCUCUGAUUUGUUAUGCAUGAAACAAGAUGUUAGGUCUGCUUGUGCAUUUUUAUUUGGUUGAUGGUGUAUUAUGUGGCCAUCAUUAGUUUAUUGUAGCCUAUAUAAUCAUUCUGCAUUCUAAGAAUAUAUCACUUAUAGCCAUUUGGGCGAUUGUGUUUUAUUUGCAUCCUCAUCAAUAGGAGUAUGAGUUUUCCAAUGGGCUAGGAUGGUCGACAUCAAGUAAUAUAUGGCUUCUGUUGCAUGUUCUAAAUUUAUGUUUUUAAUUCCUUGACUCGUGAUCUCUGAUCUGGUGGAUACAGUGGCUUUGGAGGUUUGAUUGAGUUUACAAAAAUGGAUUUGAUAGUUUUUUUGAUAUUGGGUGCUUGUGUGGGAAAUGUUCUGGGUAGCUUGAGGACUAGUGUGGCACAAU